GGGCCCGCACAAGCGGUGGAGCAUGUGGUUUAAUUCGAUGAUACGCGAGGAACCUUACCAGGGCUUAAAUGUAAGUUGCAUUAGUUAGAGAUAGCUAUUUCUUCGGACCACUUACAAGGUGCUGCAUGGUUGUCGUCAGCUCGUGCCGUGAGGUGUCAGGUUAAGUCCUAUAACGAGCGCAACCCCUGUUGUUAGUUGCCAGCGAGUCAUGUCGGGAACUCUAACAAGACUGCCGGUGCAAACCGUGAGGAAGGUGGGGAUGACGUCAAAUCAUCACGGCCCUUACGUCCUGGCCUACACACGUGCUACAAUGGUUAAGACAAAGAGUUGCGAGCUCGUGAGAGUAAGCUAA
RNAcentral lists this ribosomal RNA (352 nucleotides) under uncultured bacterium. Its description in RNAcentral is "bacterial SSU rRNA". It matches the Rfam family "Bacterial small subunit ribosomal RNA", at positions 917 to 1271 of the family's 1533-position model. The record is from RNAcentral.